RNAcentral lists this ribosomal RNA (402 nucleotides) under uncultured bacterium. RNAcentral's name for it is "bacterial SSU rRNA". It matches the Rfam family "Bacterial small subunit ribosomal RNA", at positions 355 to 772 of the family's 1533-position model. The record is from RNAcentral.
UGGGGAAUAUUGCACAAUGGAGGAAACUCUGAUGCAGCGACGCCGCGUGAGUGAAGAAGGUCUUCGGAUCGUAAAACUCUGUCCUUGGUGACGAAAAAAAUGACGGUAGCCAAGGAGGAAGCCCCGGCUAACUACGUGCCAGCAGCCGCGGUAAUACGUAGGGGGCGAGCGUUGUCCGGAUUUACUGGGCGUAAAGGGUGAGUAGGCGGUAAUAUGUGUCAGAUGUAAAAGGCUAUGGCUUAACCAUAGUUAGCAUUUGAAACUGUAUUACUUGAGUGCAGGAGAGGUAAGUGGAAUUCCUAGUGUAGCGGUGAAAUGCGUAGAUAUUAGGAGGAACACCAGUGGCGAAGGCGACUUACUGGACUGUAACUGACGCUGAGUCACGAAAGCGUGGGUAGCAAA